CUUUACUGUAGCCUGGAAUUGGCUUCGGGCGGUGCUUGCGCAGGAUAGGUGGGAGACUAUGAAGCUGCCCUUGUGGGGGCAGUGGAGUCAUCAGUGAGAUACCACUCUGUCAAGGCUAGAAUUCUAACCGUCUGCCGUUAUCCGGCGACGGAACAGUAUCAGGUGGGCAGUUUGACUGGGGCGGUCGCCUCCUAAAUGGUAACGGAGGCGCGCAAAGGUUCCCUCAGGCUGGUUGGAAAUCAGCCGAAGAGUGUAAAGGCAGAAGGGAGCUUGACUGCAAGAGCAACAACUCAAGCAGGGACGAAAGUCGGCCUUAGUGAUCCGACGGCGCUGAGUGGAAGGGCCGUCGCUCAACGGAUAAAAGUUA
This 367-nucleotide ribosomal RNA is filed under the name uncultured organism. RNAcentral describes it as "bacterial LSU rRNA". It matches the Rfam family "Bacterial large subunit ribosomal RNA", at positions 2099 to 2465 of the family's 2925-position model. The record is from RNAcentral.